GAAGUUUCAAGCCAUUAUACUCAAAAGCAUUGGGCAAGGGUAACUAUUGAAGUGUUGGUGAAAAUAGGAGAUAUAGAAGAACUAAUUAUUGCUUUAGUCGACCAUUGUAGAAUAGAUAUUAAUUUGUUUUUGUAAGAUAUUAGUAAAAUAGAGUAAUAGUCCAUAGAAUAGUGAGUUCAAGAGGACGAAGGUUAAAUCAGUUAUUAAAAGCAAUUAUUAUAGGAUUACGAUUAAAAUUUGAAAAUCAGUAGCAAUUAUAUAGGAGUUGUAGAAGUUAGUUUGAAAGGCGAGAUUGUGAUAGUCAUGAGCCGGGGUUAAGCUUGGUACUACCUCUUUAUUUUUUUUGUUUUCUUUGUUGUUGAAGAGUAAUGGAUAGUUUUUAAAUAUUGAGAAGUGAAUCUGUAGAAUAAAUCAGAGAUUGAUUUAUGAGUUAUUGAUUAUGUAAUUGGAGUAUUUUGUGAUUGAAUUAUAUAAGAAGCUAUUGAAAGAUUGAUUAUGAUUGGAAGAUUAUGAUUGUUGUUUAUCAAGAAUUGUGUGUGUU
RNAcentral lists this long non-coding RNA (541 nucleotides) under Physcomitrium patens. Its description in RNAcentral is "long non-coding RNA (PPAT_LNC012954)". Lineage: Eukaryota; Viridiplantae; Streptophyta; Bryopsida; Funariales; Funariaceae. The record is from RNAcentral.